GGGGCUGUGGCUCAGUGGUAGAACAUCUGCUUGGAAUUCAGAAGGCCCCAGGUUCAAUUCCCAGCAACUCCC
Molecule: transfer RNA, 72 nt
Filed under: Sphaerodactylus townsendi
Lineage: Eukaryota; Metazoa; Chordata; Lepidosauria; Squamata; Sphaerodactylidae
Description: tRNA-Ser
Rfam family: tRNA
About the family: Transfer RNA (tRNA) molecules are approximately 80 nucleotides in length. Their secondary structure includes four short double-helical elements and three loops (D, anti-codon, and T loops). Further hydrogen bonds mediate the characteristic L-shaped molecular structure. tRNAs have two regions of fundamental functional importance: the anti-codon, which is responsible for specific mRNA codon recognition, and the 3' end, to which the tRNAs corresponding amino acid is attached (by aminoacyl-tRNA synthetases). tRNAs cope with the degeneracy of the genetic code in two manners: having more than one tRNA (with a specific anti-codon) for a particular amino acid; and 'wobble' base-pairing, i.e. permitting non-standard base-pairing at the 3rd anti-codon position.
Source: RNAcentral